AGUGAACGCUGGCGGUAGGCCUAACACAUGCAAGUCGAACGGCAGCACAGUAAGAGCUUGCUCUUACGGGUGGCGAGUGGCGGACGGGUGAGGAAUACAUCGCAAUCUACUUUUUCGUGGGGGAUAACGUAGGGAAACUUACGCUAAUACCGCAUACGACCUACGGGUGAAAGCAGGGGAUCUUCGGACCUUUCGCGAUUGAAUGAGCCGAUGUCGGAUUAGCUAGUUGGCGGGGUAAAGGCCCACCAAGGCGACGAUCCGUAGCUGGUCUGAGAGGAUGAUCAGCCACACUGGAACUGAGACACGGUCCAGACUCCUACGGGAGGCAGCAGUGGGGAAUAUUGGACAAUGGGCGCAAGCCUGAUCCAGCCAUACCGCGUGGGUGAAGAAGGCCUUCGGGUUGUAAAGCCCUUUUGUUGGGAAAGAAAGGCAGCAGGUUAAUACCCCGCUGUUCUGACGGUACCCAAAGAAUAAGCACCGGCUAACUUCGUG
This 492-nucleotide ribosomal RNA is filed under the name uncultured bacterium. Its description in RNAcentral is "partial 16S ribosomal RNA". It matches the Rfam family "Bacterial small subunit ribosomal RNA", at positions 29 to 507 of the family's 1533-position model. The record is from RNAcentral.